AGCCAUCUCAGUUCGGAUUGCACUCUGCAACUCGAGUGCAUGAAGUUGGAAUCGCUAGUAAUCGCGGAUCAGCAUGCCGCGGUGAAUACGUCCCGGGCCUUGUACACACCGCCCGUCACACCAUGGGAGUUGGUUUACCCGAAGGUCGCUGUGCUAACCGCAAGGAGGCAGGACGACCACGGUAGGGUCAGACGACUGGGGUGAAGUCGUAACAAGGUAGCCGUA
Molecule: ribosomal RNA, 225 nt
Filed under: uncultured bacterium
Lineage: Bacteria
Description: partial 16S ribosomal RNA
Rfam family: Bacterial small subunit ribosomal RNA
Source: RNAcentral